This 281-nucleotide long non-coding RNA is filed under the name Musa acuminata (dwarf banana). Its description in RNAcentral is "long non-coding RNA (MACU_LNC004901)". Lineage: Eukaryota; Viridiplantae; Streptophyta; Magnoliopsida; Zingiberales; Musaceae. The record is from RNAcentral.
ACCUGUACAAAAUUGUAAUGAAAAAUCACAACGUUGACUUUUCCAGGUUAAUAUUACCCUACACUCUGUUUUCCGGUUCAUCUUUAAGCAAGGCCAUCUUUAGUCAACCUCAUCAUGACUUCUGGCAACAGUAGUAGGCCUUCUCCCCAUAUAAUUAAGGACAGCAACUGAGCUGGUCCAUGUGGAUUUCCUUGAAGUCGUUGGCAAAGGCAGACCUCUUUCUUCAUGUUCCAUCAAGAAAUCUUGUUGACAGAGUAAGCUUACAAGCCAAUAAGGAAUAA